UACGGGGGGGGCAAGCGUUGUUCGGAAUUACUGGGCGUAAAGGGCUCGUAGGCGGCCAACUAAGUCAUACGUGAAAUCCCUCGGCUUAACCGGGGAACUGCGUCUGAUACUGGAUGGCUUGAGUUCGGGAGAGGGAUGCGGAAUUCCAGGUGUAGCGGUGAAAUGCGCAGAUAUCAGGAGGAACACCGGUGGCGAAGGCGGGUCUCUGGGCCGAUACUGACGCUGAGGAGCGAAAGCGUGGGGAGCGAACAGG
RNAcentral lists this ribosomal RNA (253 nucleotides) under uncultured bacterium. Its description in RNAcentral is "partial 16S ribosomal RNA". It matches the Rfam family "Bacterial small subunit ribosomal RNA", at positions 524 to 776 of the family's 1533-position model. The record is from RNAcentral.